This 726-nucleotide long non-coding RNA is filed under the name Physcomitrium patens. RNAcentral's name for it is "long non-coding RNA (PPAT_LNC006551)". Lineage: Eukaryota; Viridiplantae; Streptophyta; Bryopsida; Funariales; Funariaceae. The record is from RNAcentral.
GGCUCUAGGAGAUUGGCAUCAAGGUUGAAGAAAGAGGUUGGCCCGUACCUGAGCACGUUCAUGAGGUUAUUAUCUUUUGGGUAAUUUCGAUCCUUUUCAAAAAAUUUGUGCUUAUUUUCAACUUAUCUUUUAAGAAGUGUGUAAAAUUUGAGUUAAGAUCAACGGUUCAUUCAUUAGUUAUUGAGGUUUAAUUUUGUUGUAGAAAUUACUAGGAUUUGGUUAGGAUUUGAUUUAGGAUUAGGAUUUGGUUAAGGUUUGAUUUAGAAUUAGGAUUUGAUUAGGAUUUGGUUUAGGAUUUAGGAUUAGGAUUUAAGGUUUAGUUAGGAUUUUAUUUAGGCUUUAAGAUUUGGUUUAGGAUUUAAGGUUUGAUUUAGGGUUUAAGAUUUGGUUAGAAUUUGAUCAGGAUUUGAUUUAAGAUUUACGGUUUUAUUCGAUUUUAUUUAGGAUUUAAGAUUUAGUUAGUUUUUGGCCUAAAGUUUGAAUGAAGUAGAUUUUAAAUAGGAUUAAAUUAAGAUUGAAUUGAGAUGUAUUUGAAAUAUGUUUGUAAUCAUUCUAAUAUUUCUUUAAGAUUACUUAUUGUUUCUUUGGAAUUCCUUUGAGGUUUUUUUGAAUUUGAUUAAAGCUUGUUCAGCAUUGUUAGUGUUCUAUUAGAAUUAGGAUUUUGUUGUUACAAUUUCCAUUCUACCUUCUAUAGACAGGUGCUUAGAGCAUUCUCAAGUAAGACUU